This 119-nucleotide ribosomal RNA is filed under the name Bacillus thuringiensis serovar israelensis ATCC 35646. RNAcentral describes it as "Large Subunit Ribosomal RNA; lsuRNA; 23S ribosomal RNA". It matches the Rfam family "Bacterial large subunit ribosomal RNA", at positions 2663 to 2781 of the family's 2925-position model. Lineage: Bacteria; Bacillati; Bacillota; Bacilli; Caryophanales; Bacillaceae. The record is from RNAcentral.
UGAGAGGAGCUGUCCUUAGUACGAGAGGACCGGGAUGGACGCACCGCUGGUGUACCAGUUGUUCUGCCAAGGGCAUAGCUGGGUAGCUAUGUGCGGAAGGGAUAAGUGCUGAAAGCAUC